ACUCCUACGGGAGGCAGCAGUAGGGAAUCUUCCACAAUGGGCGCAAGCCUGAUGGAGCAACACCGCGUGAGUGAAGAAGGGUUUCGGCUCGUAAAGCUCUGUUGUUAAAGAAGAACACGUAUGAGAGUAACUGUUCAUACGUUGACGGUAUUUAACCAGAAAGUCACGGCUAACUACGUGCCAGCAGCCGCGGUAAUACGUAGGUGGCAAGCGUUAUCCGGAUUUAUUGGGCGUAAAGAGAGUGCAGGCGGUUUUCUAAGUCUGAUGUGAAAGCCUUCGGCUUAACCGGAGAAGUGCAUCGGAAACUGGAUAACUUGAGUGCAGAAGAGGGUAGUGGAACUCCGAUGUGUAGCGGUGGAAUGCGUAGAUAUAUGGAAGAACACCAGU
RNAcentral lists this ribosomal RNA (387 nucleotides) under uncultured bacterium. Its description in RNAcentral is "bacterial SSU rRNA". It matches the Rfam family "Bacterial small subunit ribosomal RNA", at positions 335 to 713 of the family's 1533-position model. The record is from RNAcentral.